GACGAACGCUGGCGGCGUGCUUAACACAUGCAAGUCGAACGGAAAGGCCCUGCUUUUGUGGGGUGCUCGAGUGGCGAACGGGUGAGUAACACGUGAGUAGCCUGCCCUUGACUUUGGGAUAACUUCAGGAAACUGGGGCUAAUACCGGAUAGGAGCUCCUGCUGCAUGGUGGGGGUUGGAAAGUUUCGGCGGUUGGGGAUGGACUCGCGGCUUAUCCGCUUGUUGGUGGGGUAGUGGCUUACCAAGGCUUUGACGGGUAGCCGGCCUGAGAGGGUGACCGGCCACAUUGGGACUGAGAGACGGCCCAGACUCCUACGGGAGGCAGCAGUGGGGAAUAUUGCACAAUGGGCGGAAGCCUGAUGCAGCAACGCCGCGUGCGGGAUGACGGCCUUCGGGUUGUAAACCGCUUUCGCCUGUGACGAAGCGUGAGUGACGGUAAUGGGUAAAGAAGCACCGGCUAACUACGUG
This 468-nucleotide ribosomal RNA is filed under the name uncultured bacterium. RNAcentral describes it as "partial 16S ribosomal RNA". It matches the Rfam family "Bacterial small subunit ribosomal RNA", at positions 28 to 507 of the family's 1533-position model. The record is from RNAcentral.